UCACUCACGGGAGGUGCUGAGUGUUGGUGGGGCAGCCCAGCUUUGGGGAUUUUGCUUUCCAUGACAGAGUGCAGCUUGCUAGGCCAGCCAUUGGCUCCAGCCUUGUCACACUCUCUUCAGAAGAGUGAAGACCUACAGUUCAGUCAUGGCCUUGUAUGGUUAGAAGUCCCUCAAGCUCACCAAAAAAAGAAAAAAAAAAAAAAGGAAAAGAAGUACAUGUUGUCAAGAGAAACUGGAGAACUGGAGCCCCUCCAAAAGGUGCCCCAUUGAUUCAAAAGCCAGACACUUCUUUGUCAACAAAGGCAUCCCACAGCGAGAAGUCUGGAGGAUAAAUUGCACUUGGCUCAUUGUUGUGCAAUCAGAAAUUCAUUCAUGUGAGGAAAAAGCAGUUAAAACUUAUGGAAAACCGCCAAAGUAAGCGGCUGCCUAACUGAUUGCUUCUUGGCAGAGACUGAGAUCAAGAUUUACCAAGGAAAGCCCACGAAAAUAUGAACCAAGAGGAAGCUACAGAGCUCAAGAGCAUUACUAAGCUUGGAAACUGGAAUUUCAGUUGCCUUGCAAGGUAUUUCAGAAAAGAAUUACAUAUAUGCAAACACAAGG
Long non-coding RNA from Suricata suricatta (meerkat), 600 nucleotides. RefSeq lists it as uncharacterized. The transcript has 3 exons. Lineage: Eukaryota; Metazoa; Chordata; Mammalia; Carnivora; Herpestidae. The record is from RefSeq and is a predicted model, not a curated record.